CUACGGGUGGCUCCAGUGGGGAAUAUUGGACAAUGGGGGAAACCCUGAUCCAGCAAUGCCGCGUGUGUGAAGAAGGCCUGCGGGUUGUAAAGCACUUUCGGUUGGGAGGACUGCUUCUAGCACUAAUAUUGUUGGAAGUUGACGUUACCUUCAGAAGAAGCACCGGCUAACUCCGUGCCGGCAGCCGCGGUAAUACGGAGGGUGCAUGCGUUAAUCGGAAUUACCGGGCGUAAAGCGCGCGUAGGCGGCUAGAUCAGUCGGGUGUGAAAGCCCCGGGCUUAACCUGGGAACUGCAUCCGAUACUGUCUAGCUUGAGUACAGGAGAGGAGAGUGGAAUUCCACAUGUAGCGGUGAAAUGCGUAGAUAUGUGGAGGAACACCAAUGGCGAAGGCAGCUCUCUGGCCUGAUACUGACGCUGAGGUGCGAAAGCGUGGGGAGCAAACAGGAUUAGAUACCCCAGUAGUC
Molecule: ribosomal RNA, 465 nt
Filed under: uncultured bacterium
Lineage: Bacteria
Description: partial 16S ribosomal RNA
Rfam family: Bacterial small subunit ribosomal RNA
Source: RNAcentral